GGGAAGGUACACAGAACA
Molecule: unclassified non-coding RNA, 18 nt
Filed under: Mus musculus (house mouse)
Lineage: Eukaryota; Metazoa; Chordata; Mammalia; Rodentia; Muridae
Description: oocyte_clustered_small_RNA7835
Source: RNAcentral